UACAGAGGGGGCAAGCGUUGUUCGGAAUUACUGGGCGUAAAGGGCGCGUAGGCGGCCUUCUAAGUCGAACGUGAAAUCCCUGGGCUCAACCCAGGAACUGCGUCCGAUACUGGAAGGCUUGAAUCCGGGAGAGGGAUGCGGAAUUCCUGGUGUAGGAGUGAAAUCCGUAGAUAUCAGGAGGAAUAUCGGAGGCGAAGGCGGCCAACUGGUGAUGCAUUGACGCUAAGGUGCGAAAGCGUGGGGAGCAAACAGG
RNAcentral lists this ribosomal RNA (253 nucleotides) under uncultured bacterium. RNAcentral describes it as "partial 16S ribosomal RNA". It matches the Rfam family "Bacterial small subunit ribosomal RNA", at positions 524 to 776 of the family's 1533-position model. The record is from RNAcentral.